GACGAACGCUGGCGGCGUGCUUAACACAUGCAAGUCGAACGGUGAGGCCCUGCUUUGGUGGGGUGCUCGAGUGGCGAACGGGUGAGUAACACGUGAGUAACCUGCCCUUGACUUUGGGAUAACUUCAGGAAACUGGGGCUAAUACCGGAUAGGAGCUCCUGCGGCAUGGUGGGGGGUGGAAAGGUCCGUCGGUUGGGGAUGGACUCGCGGCUUAUCAGCUUGUUGGUGGGGUAGUGGCUUACCAAGGCUUUGACGGGUAGCCGGCCUGAGAGGGUGACCGGCAAAAUGGGGAUUGAGAUACGGCCCAGAUCCUUACGGGAGGAAGAGGGGGGGAAUAUGGACAAAUGGGCGGAAGCUUGAUGAAGAAACGCGGCGUGCGGGAUGCCGGCCUUCGGGUUGUAAACCGCUUUCGCAGGUGACGAAGCGUGAGUGAGGGUAAUGGGUAAAGAAGCACCGCCAAAUUACGU
Molecule: ribosomal RNA, 467 nt
Filed under: uncultured bacterium
Lineage: Bacteria
Description: partial 16S ribosomal RNA
Rfam family: Bacterial small subunit ribosomal RNA
Source: RNAcentral